Molecule: non-coding RNA, 47 nt
Organism: Solanum tuberosum (potato)
Lineage: Eukaryota; Viridiplantae; Streptophyta; Magnoliopsida; Solanales; Solanaceae
Source: Rfam
CCAAUGGUUCUCCUAAGAACCAUGUAAGGCUCAAUUAUGAUUUAUCU